RNAcentral lists this ribosomal RNA (466 nucleotides) under uncultured Alphaproteobacteria bacterium. RNAcentral's name for it is "bacterial SSU rRNA". It matches the Rfam family "Bacterial small subunit ribosomal RNA", at positions 9 to 524 of the family's 1533-position model. The record is from RNAcentral. Lineage: Bacteria; Pseudomonadati; Pseudomonadota; Alphaproteobacteria.
GAGUUUGAUCUUGGCUCAGAGCGAACGCUGGCGGCAGGCCUAAAACAUGCAAGUCGAACGCACCUUCGGGUGAGUGGCGGACGGGUGAGUAACGCGUGGGAACGUGCCCUUUGGUUCGGAACAACUCAGGGAAACUUGAGCUAAUACCGGAUGUGCCCUUCGGGGGAAAGAUUUAUCGCCAUUGGAGCGGCCCGCGUUGGAUUAGGUAGUUGGUGGGGUAAAGGCCCACCAAGCCUACGAUCCAUAGCUGGUCUGAGAGGAUGAUCAGCCACAUUGGGACUGAGACACGGCCCAAACUCCUACGGGAGGCAGCAGUUAGGAAUCUUGGGCAAUGGGCGAAAGCCUGACCCAGCCAUGCCGCGUGAAUGAUGAAGGUCCUAGGAUUGUAAAAUUCUUUCACCGGGAAGAUAAUGACGGUACCCGGAGAAGAAGCUCCGGCUAACUUCGUGCCAGCCGCCGCCGUAAC